AUACGGAGGGUGCAAGCGUUACUCGGAAUCACUGGGCGUAAAGCGCGCGCAGGCGGCUUGAUAAGUUGGAUGUGAAAGCCUACGGCUCAACCGUAGAACUGCAUCCAAAACUGUCAGGCUAGAGUGUGGGAGAGGAAGAUGGAAUUAGUUGUGUAGGGGUAAAAUCCGUAGAGAUAACUAGGAAUACCAAAAGCGACGGCAAUCUUCUGGAACACUACUGACGCUGAGGCGCGAAGGCGUGGGGAGCAAACAGGAUUAGAUACCCUAGUAGUCC
Molecule: ribosomal RNA, 274 nt
Filed under: uncultured bacterium
Lineage: Bacteria
Description: partial 16S ribosomal RNA
Rfam family: Bacterial small subunit ribosomal RNA
Source: RNAcentral